UCCCUCAGAGCAAGUCAGGACCUUAUCACCUGGCACUUCCUCCUAGCUCCUCCUCCACCUCACACAUUUCCAGCCAAAACUCAGGCCAGGCUCUCAUUUGUGACUUCCUUAUUUUCCAUCACCGCUGCUUUCAACCGUGCUUAUUGUCCACAUCAUUCCAACAUCCUUCUUCAUUUAGCUGAUGCUAGCCCGUUAGAAACCGUCCCGGCACUAACUUCCCAGCACUUCUCUCAACCCCUCCUAGGCUUCGCCAUCCAUGUCCCUGCCUCACUGUUCUGCUAAGCAAGGUACAUGUCAGGCAAAGCUCUUCCUUCGGUCCAUGUUUUUUUUUUCCUAGAUUUUGCUACUGACAUCAUUACCACAAGACUGAUGGCAUCCAUCACCUUCCCCAGGAGAUAGCACAGAGACUGGCAUACUAAGUGCAACCGCACUGGGACCUGCAGCCAUUCUGCUGGUGGCUGAGUGAGAGACAGCAGAGGACAACUUUCACAAGGACAAGGGUGUGCCCAACCCUUCCUCAACCACAGGCUGCUGCUGUUCAACACCAAAGCUGACCGUUUUCAACAUCAGCUCUACCCCUUCCCCACAAACAGCAGCUCCAGAGACCCACAUUAGAGAGCAAGCAGUGGGACUGGGAAGGCUAAGACCAAAGUGACUCAGAAUCCAGCCUGGCAGCUGGGACGACCCACAACGCUUCAGUACUCACAACAGCUACCCUUGGACACCCGUGUGCACAGCUCCAAUACCACCACAUGUGUGACCUCUGGGACACCAUUUAACUUCAAAGUGCCUGUUUCCCCAGCCAUAAAUUUGUGAUGAAAUGAUACCCACCUUACAAGACUAAUAAACAGCAUGAGAUAAUGUACGGACAAGAUUUGCUAUAAACAGAGCCAUUAGGAGAUUCUGCUCCACCAAAUAGACUGAGGAAGCUACGGAAGCCUAUUGUACUUAUUGGCCAGAUGACUGAAACCUCCUGAGGAUGGAUAAGAAAUGCUUUGAAAGCAGUGGCAGCUUAAAAGGGAACCUAGCUUUUGUGCUAUGCUCCCUGGGACAAGACCACUAAACUGAUGGAUCUACCCAGGUGCUCUGAAUCAUACCAUGACUUAAUAAAAAAAAUUGUCUCCCCAA
Molecule: long non-coding RNA, 1128 nt
Organism: Mastomys coucha (southern multimammate mouse)
Lineage: Eukaryota; Metazoa; Chordata; Mammalia; Rodentia; Muridae
Exons: 5
Source: RefSeq, a predicted model, not a curated record